This 465-nucleotide ribosomal RNA is filed under the name uncultured bacterium. RNAcentral's name for it is "partial 16S ribosomal RNA". It matches the Rfam family "Bacterial small subunit ribosomal RNA", at positions 28 to 507 of the family's 1533-position model. The record is from RNAcentral.
GACGAACGCUGGCGGCGUGCUUAACACAUGCAAGUCGAACGGAAAGGCCCCUUUGGGGGUACUCGAGUGGCGAACGGGUGAGUAACACGUGAGUAACCUGCCCUUGACUUCGGGAUAACUUCAGGAAACUGGGGCUAAUACCGGAUAGGAAUCCUUGCUGCAUGGUGGGGGUUGGAAAGCUUCGGCGGUUUUGGAUGGACUCGCGGCUUAUAAGCUUGUUGGUGGGGUAGUGGCUUACCAAGGCUUUGACGGGUAGCCGGCCUGAGAGGGCGACCGGCCACAUUGGGACUGAGAUACGGCCCAGACUCCUACGGGAGGCAGCAGUGGGGAAUAUUGCACAAUGGGCGGAAGCCUGAUGCAGCAACGCCGCGUGCGGGAUGACGGCCUUCGGGUUGUAAACCGCUUUCAGCAGGGGCGAAGCUUGUGGUGACGGUACCUGCAGAAGAAGCACCGGCUAACUACGUG